GCGGGAGCCUGAUCCAGCCAUGCCGCGUGCAGGAUGACGGCCCUAUGGGUUGUAAACUGCUUUUAUACGGGAAGAAACGCACCUACGUGUAGGUGUCUGACGGUACCGUAAGAAUAAGGACCGGCUAACUCCGUGCCAGCAGCCGCGGUAAUACGGAGGGUCCGAGCGUUAUCCGGAAUCAUUGGGUUUAAAGGGUCCGUAGGCGGGCCUGUAAGUCAGGGGUGAAAGUUUGUGGCUCAACCAUAAAAUUGCCUUUGAUACUGCAGGUCUUGAGUCAUGGUGGGGUUGCCGGAACAUGUGGUGUAGCGGUGAAAUGCAUAGAUAUCACAUAGAACACCGAUCGCGAAGGCAGGUGACCAACCAUGUACUGACGCUGAUGGACGAAAGCGUGGGUAGCGAACGGGAUUAGAUACCCCGGUAGUCCACGCCGUAAACGAUGGAUACUAGCUGUGGGGACUUCGGUCUCCGUGGCCAAGCGAAAGUGAUAAGUAUCCCACCUGGGGAGUACGUUCGCAAGAAUGAAACUCAAA
Molecule: ribosomal RNA, 530 nt
Filed under: Allomuricauda sp.
Lineage: Bacteria; Pseudomonadati; Bacteroidota; Flavobacteriia; Flavobacteriales; Flavobacteriaceae
Description: bacterial SSU rRNA
Rfam family: Bacterial small subunit ribosomal RNA
Source: RNAcentral